UUAGAAUUUAAUUCUGGUUUAAUAAAAUUGGUUUUGUUAUGGAAAGACACAUGGUAAAAAAGUUUGUUUAGUGAGUGUAAUCUUUGAAGUUUUGGGUUUUAAUAAUUUUGAAAUUGUAAAAGUUUAAUAUUAAAGUUUUUAUCACAUAUAAAGAGAUUCACAUUUUCAGUGCGGAAGAUUAAAUAAAUUUUGAGAGAAAGUUUUAGUCUAUAAUGAUAAUUUAACCGGAUAAGUAGGUGCCAGCAUCAGCGGUUAUACCUACGGUUAGAAUCAAUUUUUACGGAAGUUGAAAUUAGGUUAUUCUAUAUAGAAAGAUAAUUUGAGAUUUAAUAAGGUGGUUUAAUAUAAUUAUAUUUUAAAAUCAUAAUGUCUUGGUAGAUGAGCUUGGAAAUCUUUUUUGAGAGACUGGGAUUAGAUACCCCAUUAUUAAAGAUGUAAAAUUUUAACCGGGGGAUUAAUUGCCUAUUAAAUGAUUUUUUUAUUAUUUUUCGGGUUAAAAAUUCAAAGAAUUUGGCGGCGCUUUAAAUCAUGUUAGGGGAGUCUGUAUAUUAAUUUGAUGGUCCGCGGAGACAUCACCUCCUUAGAAUAGAUAAUUGGCUUGCAUACCGUCGUUGACAGCAUAUGUUUUUAAUAAAAGAAAAUGUCUUGGUUAUUUGUUUUGUAAAAUAAGAACUUCAGGUAAACGUGCAGUUGAUAAGGAGGGUUUAUAUGGGCUACAGUAUAAAUUAAUUCUAAUAAAAAGUUGAAAUUCUUUUUUGAGGGUGGACUUAACAGUAAGAAUAUCAUAAAUGCUGAAAUAGUAAUAAGGUGCGUACAAACCGCCCGUCGCUCCCAUAAAUAUUUGAAAUUGGGAUAAGUCGUAACAAGGUAAGGGUACCUGAAGGUGUUCUUAGAAUAAU
This 899-nucleotide non-coding RNA is filed under the name Cuspidaria undata. Lineage: Eukaryota; Metazoa; Mollusca; Bivalvia; Cuspidariidae. The record is from RNAcentral.